AUACGGAGGAUCCGAGCGUUAUCCGGAUUUAUUGGGUUUAAAGGGUGCGCAGGCGGCCAUUUAAGUCAGCGGUUAAAUCGUGGGGCUCAACCCCAUUCUGCCGUUGAUACUGGGUGGGUUGAUUGCGGUCGAGGUUGGCGGAAUUCGUUGUGUAGCGGUGAAAUGCAUAGAUAUGACGAAGAACACCGAUUGCGUAGGCAGCUGACCAGACCGCAAAUGACGCUCAUGCACGAAAGUGCGGGGAUCGAACAGGAUUAGAUACCCUGGUAGUCCGCACAGUAAACGAUGAAUACUUGUUUUCGGCGAUAUAAUGUCGGAGGCAAAGCGAAAGCGAUAAGUAUUCCACCUGGGGAGUACGCCGGCAACGGUGAAACUCAAAGGAAUUGACGGGG
This 392-nucleotide ribosomal RNA is filed under the name uncultured bacterium. Its description in RNAcentral is "partial 16S ribosomal RNA". It matches the Rfam family "Bacterial small subunit ribosomal RNA", at positions 523 to 918 of the family's 1533-position model. The record is from RNAcentral.